This 314-nucleotide ribosomal RNA is filed under the name uncultured eukaryote. Its description in RNAcentral is "partial 18S ribosomal RNA". It matches the Rfam family "Eukaryotic small subunit ribosomal RNA", at positions 1470 to 1796 of the family's 1831-position model. The record is from RNAcentral.
CCCCUAGAUGUUCUGGGCCGCACGCGCGCUACACUGAACAGUUCAACAAGUCUUAACCUUGGCCGAUAGGUCUGGGCAAUCUUUGAACGCUGGUCGUGAUGGGGAUAGACUUUUGCAAUUUUUGGUCUUCAACGAGGAAUUCCUAGUAAACGCAAGUCAUCAACUUGCAUUGAUUACGUCCCUGCCCUUUGUACACACCGCCCGUCGCACCUACCGAUUGAAUGGUCCGGUGAAGCCUCCGGAUUGGCGCGCACCUCGGUGCCGCCGAGAAGUUGGCUAAACCUUACCAUUUAGAGGAAGGUGAAGUCGUANCA